This 324-nucleotide long non-coding RNA is filed under the name Elaeis guineensis (African oil palm). Its description in RNAcentral is "long non-coding RNA (EGUI_LNC046718)". Lineage: Eukaryota; Viridiplantae; Streptophyta; Magnoliopsida; Arecales; Arecaceae. The record is from RNAcentral.
CUUCUAAUCGUGCACGAUGGAAGGUAUGUCCAGAAAUAUUAGGCGAAAGCCAUCCUUCUUCUUUCAUGGAGUCAUGUACCAUCACCUUGUACGAGUCUAGGUGCCGCUUGAGGCUGAAGAGAAAAUGGAAGAAUGUAACAUUUGACGCAAUCUCAACCAGCAUGCAUAAUGCGGUGAAACCGCUGAUAUACCACCACGCAUUCGGCAUCACCGUACACAGCAAUAUCUCAAAAUAUUGGAGGAGCACCACAAAAAAAGGGAUGGAGAGGAACCCUCAGCCCGGCUCAGAAGCACUCUUCAUAGAAAUCCAUAUAUCCUGAAGGU